CCUACGGGAGGCUGCAGUGAGGCAUAUUGGUCAAUGGGCGUAAGCCUGAACCAGCCAAGUCGCGUGAGGGAUGAAGGUUCUAUGGAUCGUAAAUCUCUUUUAUAAGGGAAUAAAGUGUGGGACGUGUCCUGUUUUGUAUGUACCUUAUGAAUAAGGAUCGGCUAACUUCGUACCAGCAGCCGAGGUAAUACGGAGGAUCCGAGCGUUAUACGGAUUUAUUGGGCUGAAAGGGUGCGAAGGCGGCCUUUUAAGUCAGCGGUGAAAGUCUGUGGCUCAACCAUAGAAUUGCCGUUGAAACUGGGAGGCUUGAGUAUGUUAGAGGCAGGCGGAAUGCGUGGUGUAGCGGUGAAAUGCUUAGAUAUCACGCGGAACCC
Molecule: ribosomal RNA, 374 nt
Filed under: uncultured bacterium
Lineage: Bacteria
Description: partial 16S ribosomal RNA
Rfam family: Bacterial small subunit ribosomal RNA
Source: RNAcentral